Molecule: ribosomal RNA, 351 nt
Filed under: uncultured Nocardioides sp.
Lineage: Bacteria; Bacillati; Actinomycetota; Actinomycetes; Propionibacteriales; Nocardioidaceae
Description: bacterial SSU rRNA
Rfam family: Bacterial small subunit ribosomal RNA
Source: RNAcentral
GGAGGCAGCAGUGGGGAAUAUUGGACAAUGGGCGGAAGCCUGAUCCAGCAACGCCGCGUGAGGGAUGACGGCCUUCGGGUUGUAAACCUCUUUCAGCACAGACGAAGCGCAAGUGACGGUAUGUGCAGAAGAAGGACCGGCCAACUACGUGCCAGCAGCCGCGGUAAUACGUAGGGUCCGAGCGUUGUCCGGAAUUAUUGGGCGUAAAGGGCUCGUAGGCGGUCUGUCGCGUCGGGAGUGAAAACCAGGUGCUUAACCCCUGGCCUGCUUUCGAUACGGGCAGACUAGAGGUACUCAGGGGAGAAUGGAAUUCCUGGUGUAGCGGUGAAAUGCGCAGAUAUCAGGGGGACC